GAGUAACAAGCUGUCGUCAUUUACCCACGGUUUUAUCUUUCGGUAUUCUCAGGACAUAUCGUCAUGAUAUCGAUAAGCCAUAUAUACAUUUAUGCAUCGAAUGGACUUCAAAGAUUUUUUAAGGGGAAUUCUAAUUGGUUUAAAAAGUCACGUGUGAAAUCGUCAGAAGUCAAACUACAUAUUGGUCGUUGUUUGAUCUCAUAUGUAGUAUAACGUAAUCAGAGAUCAAUAUUUUAAUUAGAUUGAUAGCUAUUCUACAUUCCGUAGUAGUCGGCAGUGGCAGCGGCAUCAGCGUCCACAAAUAUUCACUCUGUGGUUAAAGUUUUUUGAAAUUUAAUAACUUUCUUAAACUAUCCAGGAUUUCUACCACACUUGGACAGAAGGUUGUUUAUGAUCAUAACAUAGUAUCCAGAAGUAAAUUUUGUGAAAAAAAUCCAUUUUUUCCGUAUUUUACUUAUAUAAAUAUACUUAUUAUUGGGCCAUUCCAGUUAAUAUCUGAUAGAUGGGGGGAUAAGGAGAUUUAUUUCCUAGGUAUCAGAAAAUACAUGUUGAGAAACUGCCCUAUUAGAAUUAAAAAACUAAGACCUGUCAGAUGAAGAGUUUCAGUUCAUAUUUGGUGGGUGGGCUAGUAUAGGAAAAAAAUACCUAUCAGAAGUUGUUAAUGCUAUUGACAUGCCCAUCAGUAUUUUUC
Molecule: long non-coding RNA, 691 nt
Filed under: Mytilus galloprovincialis (Mediterranean mussel)
Lineage: Eukaryota; Metazoa; Mollusca; Bivalvia; Mytilida; Mytilidae
Source: RNAcentral